GACGAACGCUGGCAGCGUGCCUAAUACAUGCAAGUAGAACGCUGAAGCGAGGAGCUUACUCUUCUUGGAUGAGUUGCGAACGGGUGAGUAACGCGUAGGUAACCUGCCUUGUAGCGGGGGAUAACUAUUGGAAACGAUAGCUAAUACCGCAUAACAAUGGAUGACACAUGUCAUUUAUUUGAAAGGGGCAAUUGCUCCACUACAAGAUGGACCUGCGUUGUAUUAGCUAGUAGGUGAGGUAAUGGCUCACCUAGGCGACGAUACAUAGCCGACCUGAGAGGGUGAUCGGCCACACUGGGACUGAGACACGGCCCAGACUCCUACGGGAGGCAGCAGUAGGGAAUCUUCGGCAAUGGGGGCAACCCUGACCGAGCAACGCCGCGUGAGUGAAGAAGGUUUUCGGAUCGUAAAGCUCUGUUGUAAGUCAAGAACGGGUGUGAGAGUGGAAAGUUCACACUGUGACGGUAGCUUACCAGAAAGGGACGGCUAACUACGUG
This 497-nucleotide ribosomal RNA is filed under the name uncultured bacterium. RNAcentral describes it as "partial 16S ribosomal RNA". It matches the Rfam family "Bacterial small subunit ribosomal RNA", at positions 28 to 507 of the family's 1533-position model. The record is from RNAcentral.